This 765-nucleotide ribosomal RNA is filed under the name uncultured Streptococcus sp. RNAcentral describes it as "bacterial SSU rRNA". It matches the Rfam family "Bacterial small subunit ribosomal RNA", at positions 28 to 776 of the family's 1533-position model. The record is from RNAcentral. Lineage: Bacteria; Bacillati; Bacillota; Bacilli; Lactobacillales; Streptococcaceae.
GACGAGCGCGGGCGGCGUGCCUAAUACAUGCAAGUAGAACGCUGAAGCCUGGUGCUUGCACCGAGCGGAUGAGUUGCGAACGGGUGAGUAACGCGUAGGUAACCUGCCUGGUAGCGGGGGAUAACUAUUGGAAACGAUAGCUAAUACCGCAUAAGAGCAGAUAUUGCAUGACAUUUGCUUAAAAGGUGCAAUUGCAUCACUACCAGAUGGACCUGCGUUGUAUUAGCUAGUUGGUGAGGUAACGGCUCACCAAGGCAACGAUACAUAGCCGACCUGAGAGGGUGAUCGGCCACACUGGGACUGAGACACGGCCCAGACUCCUACGGGAGGCAGCAGUAGGGAAUCUUCGGCAAUGGACGGAAGUCUGACCGAGCAACGCCGCGUGAGUGAAGAAGGUUUUCGGAUCGUAAAGCUCUGUUGUAAGAGAAGAACGAGUGUGAGAGUGGAAAGUUCACACUGUGACGGUAUCUUACCAGAAAGGGACGGCUAACUACGUGCCAGCAGCCGCGGUAAUACGUAGGUCCCGAGCGUUGUCCGGAUUUAUUGGGCGUAAAGCGAGCGCAGGCGGUUAGAUAAGUCUGAAGUUAAAGGCUGUGGCUUAACCAUAGUACGCUUUGGAAACUGUUUAACUUGAGUGCAAGAGGGGAGAGUGGAAUUCCAUGUGUAGCGGUGAAAUGCGUAGAUAUAUGGAGGAACACCGGUGGCGAAAGCGGCUCUCUGGCUUGUAACUGACGCUGAGGCUCGAAAGCGUGGGGAGCAAACAGG